This 492-nucleotide ribosomal RNA is filed under the name uncultured bacterium. Its description in RNAcentral is "partial 16S ribosomal RNA". It matches the Rfam family "Bacterial small subunit ribosomal RNA", at positions 29 to 507 of the family's 1533-position model. The record is from RNAcentral.
AGUGAACGCUGGCGGUAUGCCUAACACAUGCAAGUCGAACGGCCGCACAGUAAGAGCUUGCUCUUACGGGUGGCGAGUGGCGGACGGGUGAGGAAUACAUCUGCAUCUACUUUUUCUUGGGGGAUACCGUGGGAAAACUGCCGCUACUACCCCAUACUACCUACGGUGUAAAUCAGGGGUUCUUGGGACUUUUGCCGUUUCAAUUAGCCGGCGUCGGAUUGCCUAGUUGGCGGGGUAAAGGCCCACCAAGGCGACGAUACGUAGCUGGUCUGAGAGGAUGAUCAGCCACACUGGAACUGAGACACGGUCCAGACUCCUACGGGAGGCAGCAGUGGGGAAUAUUGGACAAAGGGCGAAAGCCUGAUCGAGCCAUACCGCGUGAGUGAAGAAGGCCUUCGGGUUGUAAAGCCCUUUUGUUGGGAAAGAAAAGCAGCAGGUUAAUAUCCCGCUGUUCUGACGGUACCCAAAGAAUAAGCACCGGCUAACUUCGUG